Marmota monax (woodchuck) is the source of this 2157-nucleotide long non-coding RNA. RefSeq lists it as uncharacterized. The transcript has 5 exons. NCBI's taxonomy places the organism in Eukaryota, Metazoa, Chordata, Mammalia, Rodentia, Sciuridae. The record is from RefSeq and is a predicted model, not a curated record.
UCUUACUAGAAAGUGGUUCUGUUAUGAUUGCUUGGAUAUGAACUGAUUUGAGCUUCCCAUUAUUUUUCUGUUUGGCCAAUUUCCAGCAGUCUUGGAGGAGCAGCUCAAGAGAAGUAAAUUCUAUUGUAUCAUGGUUGGAAAGGUGCCCACUUCAUACAGUCAUCACGCUUGACUUCAUGUUACCUCUUGAAGUGCUUUAUGAUCACAUAAUUGGGAACAAGGAGGAACUAAAUGCACCUAAGCAGAAAUGGCUGCUGCUCACCAGCUACCUAAUUAUUGUCAGGAAAGCUAAAAAUGUAGAAUGUCUGUCAACUUUCAAAGCAGCACACAUGGAGAGCAGCGGUGGGGAAGAUGGAAAUCGCAGCUGGAGACCUUAGCCUUGAAGGAAGACAGGAAGUCAAGUGUCAUACCUAGAGGGACACAUAUUCUGUGACAAAGUCCUAAGUGAGGUCCAGAAGGGAGCAACCAGUUCUACCAGCGUUUGUGUGUGAGCUGUGGAGAUGGGAGAGGAGACAAUAUGGAGAAUACCUAAAUGACAUGGUGGGCACUUGUCCUAGAACUUGAAAGGCUAAACCUCAAAUAUUUGGGCCUGAUUUCUAUGCACAGUCUCCAUCUACAGGAUUCUUUCUGAAAAUUAUUCCAGGCUAUGACUGCAUGAUCCUGAAAUUCCAAUCUAACUGGCAGGUGCUGACUGGAUGGGCGUCUGAUCCAAGGAUGGGCAAUACACAGGAGAGGAGGAGACGCAAGAUUCAUCUCUCUCCAUCAUGAGAGAAUAAAGCAAGAAAUGAUCAUCAGUGAACAGGAAGAAAGCCUUCAUCAUGAAGGCACCCUGGUCUCAGAUUUUCAGCCUUCAGAAGUAUGAGAAAACCAUGUUUGUUGUUGAAGCCAUCCAGUCUACAAUAGAGUGUUUUAGCAGAACAAAUUGAUUGAGACUUAUCCUAUGUAGAGAAAGUAAAUAUGGAUAUAUUUCAGAAAUGUUUGUAGCUGCCAACAAAGAAUAACCAACUUAAAAUGACUUAAACUCUAUGGGUUCAUUUUCUGACAUGAAAAGAAAUCCAGAGUUGAAUGGCCUUGACUUUAACUUCUAUCAAAUCAAUGUUAUCACUGGGUUAUCUCCCUGUUCUUUCAUCUUCCAGUUUUAGUAAGUUGUCUUUAGUCUUCAAGUAGCUACAAAAUAACUGCUGGUCACAGGUAUAUCCUCAUGCCAGACAUCCAGAAGCAGAAGUAGAUCUUGCCAGGGAUGAAAAACUUUCCUAGAAAUCCUCUGCAAACUCAUGUCUAGUUCCCUUGAGCAGCACUGAAUGGUGAGUCUGUGUCUGAGUCCUCACUAGAAAUCCUUGACAAGUGAAAAUCAAGUAUUUCUCAUGCCUGUGGUGGGUAGGCAGCAAAGACAAUCAGUGAAGAACUAACCACUCAUGCCUCAACUGUCAGACAAUUCUGCUACAUGACUGCUUUGUAGAAGUAGAAAUUUAGAAGCAACAGCUAUUUGCUAAAUCGGUGUAUUAGCAUUCUAAGUUAAAUGAAGAUUGAUGAAUUCGUCUUUGGGUAUGGUGAAAAGAAACUGUUCACUUUAAUCCUUUAGUUUUUUUUUUUUUUUUUUUAAUUUUUUUUUUAUUGGUUGUUCAAAACAUUAUAAAGCUCUUCACAUAUCAUAUUUCAUACAUUAGAUUCAAGUUGGUUAUGAACUCCCAAUUUUACCCCAAAUACAGAUUGCAGAAUCACAUCGGUUACACAUCCACAUUUUUACAUAAUGCCCUAUUAGUAACUGUUGUAUUCUGCUACCUUUCCUAUCCUCUACCAUCCCCCCUCCCUCCCCUCCCAUCUUCUCUCUCUGCCCCAUCCACUGUAAUUCAUAUCUCUCCUUGUUUAUUUUCCCAUUCCCCUCACAACCUCUUAUAUGUAAUUUUGUAUAACAAUGAGGGUCUCCCUCCAUUACCAUGCAAUUUCCCUUUUCUCUCCCUUUCCAUCCCACCUCAUGUAUCUGUUUAAUGUUAAUCUUUUCUUCCUGCUCUUCCUCCCUGCUCUGUUCUUAGUUGCUCUCAUUAUAUCAAAGAAGACAUUUGGUAUUUGUUUUUUAGGGAUUGGCUAGCUUCACUAAGCAUAAUCUGCUCUAGUGCCAUCCAUUUCCCUGCAAAUUCUAUGAUUUUGUCAUUUUUU